This 1112-nucleotide long non-coding RNA is filed under the name Oncorhynchus mykiss (rainbow trout). Its description in RNAcentral is "lncRNA (ENSOMYG00000049975.1)". Lineage: Eukaryota; Metazoa; Chordata; Actinopteri; Salmoniformes; Salmonidae. The record is from RNAcentral.
UAGCAGUACUACUUAUGUCUCUGAGAGUGAGACGGAUGUAUAGCAAUUUGCAAUUAAAAACAUGAUUAUUUGUCUCUCUGAAAUUAAACCAGUGACAGAUUUUAAACAAAUACAUGUCUGUCAUUGAACAAACCCAUGCCAUGAUUAGAUAAUGGAAAAACACACCAAUCUCUUUCAGAAUUUCUUUAUACAAUAAAAGCUCAUUUACCAACAUUUCUGAACGUAGAUGUAUUCUGUUUUGGAAUGAAUCUCUUGAAAUGUAUUCACGUUUAGUGAAACACGAGAUAUAAUGAAAGUACUCUUUGUUUGUUUCUUUUGUAGAGCACAAAUAUUGUCAAGCAAUGGGGAAGACCACAUUGAGAACCGUAAUUGUCUGUGUAUCCACAGUGUAUAGUGCUUUAGGUUGUGUAGUGACAGGCCCAGACCAGAAGAAGGUUCCUGUGGGCUCUAAUGUUCGACUGUCCUGCGACCUCACUCAGUGUUUGAAAAGUCUGGGACAUCACCAAAUCAGUGCGGAGUGGGAGUUCAUUGACAAGGACUCAAUGGAUAAAGCCCGGCACUGUCUCAUAUACCACUACCAUAACCAAACUGUCACCGUUGAACCCAGAGUGUCUCUGGUUGGGAACAUCUCUGAAGGUGACUUCUCGAUCCUGCUGGUGUCGGUGACAGUCCAACGUAGUGGCACCUACCUGUGUCGCCUGCGUUCUCCACAUGGCUAUUCAGACAUUCAUGAGAGUCACACACAGGUCACAGUGGUGGAGAGAUCAGGGCAGCACAGGAGUUUCCCAGGAGAUCUCCAUAAACCUGGUGUAAACCAUCCGGAUUGGCUGUUGCCUCUCUGCUGCGUGCUUUUUUCACUCUUCCUGGUGGGCGGAGUCACAGUGGGAAUAUGCGUGUGUCGGAGGAGGUCACCGCGGCAACAAAAUGACAAGUGUCACAUCCAGGUGAACGUAACACGCGGAGAAGACACACGGGAAGCCAAUGGAAACAAGGACACAAACUGCUAUGUCACGCUCCAGAGGCUCAGGGCCCCGCCCCCUCCCACACCCUCUAGAGGAGAGGGCAUCUACGUUACCAUGGUAAGCACACUGUGUACAGAACAGAGGCUUUAA